AGAGUUUGAUCCUGGCUCAGAUUGAACGCUGGCGGCAUGCCUUACACAUGCAAGUCGAACGGCAGCACGGGAGCAAUCCUGGUGGCGAGUGGCGAACGGGUGAGUAAUAUAUCGGAACGUGCCCAGUCGUGGGGGAUAACGUAGCGAAAGCUACGCUAAUACCGCAUACGAUCUAUGGAUGAAAGCGGGGGAUCGCAAGACCUCGCGCGAUUGGAGCGGCCGAUAUCAGAUUAGCUAGUUGGUGGGGUAAAGGCCCACCAAGGCGACGAUCUGUAGCUGGUCUGAGAGGACGACCAGCCACACUGGAACUGAGACACGGUCCAGACUCCUACGGGAGGCAGCAGUGGGGAAUUUUGGACAAUGGGCGCAAG
This 371-nucleotide ribosomal RNA is filed under the name uncultured bacterium. RNAcentral's name for it is "bacterial SSU rRNA". It matches the Rfam family "Bacterial small subunit ribosomal RNA", at positions 8 to 381 of the family's 1533-position model. The record is from RNAcentral.